RNAcentral lists this long non-coding RNA (3637 nucleotides) under Brassica napus (rape). Its description in RNAcentral is "long non-coding RNA (BNAP_LNC000782)". Lineage: Eukaryota; Viridiplantae; Streptophyta; Magnoliopsida; Brassicales; Brassicaceae. The record is from RNAcentral.
GCAGUAAAGCUAGGCGAGUUUAGUUAGCAUUAGGUAUAAAAAGACUUUGGUUUACCUAUUUUACCUGUUUGAGGUACAUUGGCAGAACAAGAAGCUGCCACUGAAGAGUUGAUAUUGGAUGCGUUAGUUUGGUUGCUGAGGUAUGUUGUUGUAAAGUCUCUUGCUGCUUUAGCUGCUCCGAACCCAUUUGAGCUACUUCCAGCUUCAGGGCUGAGAUAAGAGACUGUGGGCAUGAAGCUAGGAGGCAUAGCUGAAGAAUCAACGGAGGCACGAGCAUGAUGGACCACUUGUUGAUGAGUUUGUGGUGGUGAAAAGACUUGUGGCAUAGGGGAACCGUUUCCAGCAAGUAACAUUAUCGCCUUGGCCUGUGAUGGAGGAAUGAUAUUAGUAAAGCAAAUGAUUAAAGCACAUAUGGGAGAAAGUGAUUUGAGUUACCUUUUCAGGAGAUAUGUCAUUAUAAACACAAACUGAACCGGCAUAAAAGAUGGUCAACUGAGCAGGUGAUGAUCCUGAUGGCUUGGAAGAACAUCUGACAAAAGAAGAAAGUUUGAGUCAGCCAUGAAAUAGAUUAUGUUACUUCAAUUCAUGAUAUGAUGAAUAACAAAGAAAUGAUAGAAGCAGUGGGUACGUACCUAAUAUCAGUUGUCCCAACAAUGGAACCUGGAGGAGGAAGGACUGAUACUGGAGGUGCCAUGAUAGGAACUCCUACCAAAGGUUGCGAGUUUACGCUAUUGUUGAUGAAGCUUGUUCCUCCUGAUGCAUAAUGAGACUGGAGACUCGGCCUAGACAUGGAAACUGAGAUAGCUUCUUCAUGUUGUUUGGAACUAGGGAACAUCCUAACUCCCUGAAACCAAAAAAAAAACAUAAUAUAAUUGUAAGGAAACUGUUUAGACUGAAGCUUAUCUUACACUCCAAACAAAUCACUAAGUGUUGAUCAAUCAGGAAUCACAAAAGAAACUUGUUCCAAACUUGACCUAAUGCCACAUGGGUCUAUAAACUCCAAUCAAUCUGAUAAUUGGUAUACAUAGGUAUUGAUAUGGAAAAUACCUGAACAGAACUGUAAGGAGUGCUCCGGUAGGAGGAAUCAUAAACAUCAGCUACGGAUGAUGGCAUGAAGGAACCAGAGUGUGGCAGAUGAUAGUUUCCAAGGUUUCUAUGUCUGUUUUCUUGGGAUGGCCUGAAAGUUAGAAACUGAGGAGUAGAAGUAGCAGAGGCUUUGUUUGGGAAUGACCACUUCAUUCCUCUACUCGGGGCUGCAAAAGGAAACGAAACAAACGAACUACAUCAGUUUAAAAGUCAGACAUGAAGUGGUUACCGUUAAACCAUAAAUGUCUCGAGAUCAUACAAAUAAAUUUAAGAGGCAGAUAAUUCAACACCCAACCUAAGAAAAAGAUGUCACCAACUAUGUGAUAAAGAAACCGAUACUGUUUACAAAUUCAACGAGGCAACAAAACCACCUUUAGAAACCAUGUCCCACAUAAAUAAAUAAAUAGACAAUUAUUCAAAAUCAUUAUAUUUUAGGGUUUUCUGCAGAAAAACCCUCAAUGUGGUUUUUUUUUGCAAAUUAAUCCGCGAACUCAAAAACCUACGGGUCAACCUUCCAAGUGCCAGUCAAACCGCAAUAUAACACUCGGCCGUAUUUAUGUGUAUUUGACUGUGUAUAAUUUUAACAUUUUUUCAAUACUAGGUCGUUUUGGCGCUAAUUUUUUAAUGAAAAAAAUUUGUUGAACUCGUGGUUUGAAAUUUGAACCUUAAAUACCAUGUGCAUGCUAUAUAACCAUCUCGGCCAACAAAUAUAUUUGUUUACUUAACAAACGCAAUUAUAUAGAUUUCUAAAACGAAAUGACCUUGUUUUUCUCGGACAUGGGAGCUUGCGUAAAUGCACAAUGAAGGUGGGGUUCAACAAAUUUUUUUCAUUAAAAAAUUAGCGCCAAAACGACCUAGUAUUGAAAAAAUGUUAAAAUUAUACACAGUCAAAUACACAUAAAUAAGUUUAGCUACUUAGUCAAAAAAAUCUGAAAGGCCCAAUAAGGGGAAAAUAAGCUCAUUAGCAUCAGGGUUCACGAAGCGUACAAUUAGGGUUUUCAAGAUGUAGCUGUCAAUAUAUAGUACAUGCCCAUAUCAAGAAUGUGUCAUCGAUAGUUAGUUUAGUUAGUCUCUGUAAAAGUCUCUGCGUCUAUGAAUUUUAUUUUAUCGCCUUGAUAACAAGGCAGUACGUCACUGGGCGCUUGAGAAAGUGGUGCUUCAGUCCUUUUAGCUGCCAAAAUAGACGGGAGCACUAAUGCUUUCGUUUGCCGUCUUCCCUCGGCUUAUGAACUCUGUUGCUCCCACAUUAGCCUCUUCCUCCUCACCUCUAUUUUUAGAGAAACAAAGGAAACCUAGUUAUGAUAUAUACCUGAAAAUAUGUGUUUAAUCGGUUUUUUAGAGAGAAGAAAACCUCAUUCAAUCUAUGUGUUCUAAUUAUUGCAGAUAUUUCUUUAAAAAUGACCCAGUCGUAAACUUAUCAUGUCCUCUGAUGUUGGUGCCAUUUCCUUGACAUGGUUUCAUAUUAUCAUAUUUGAUUCAUUGACGUCCAUAGUUGAGAAGCUGCCCUGUCCAUUCCUUUGUCUGGCCUCGUUCACCUCUGACAUACUAUGAAUUAGCAAAACUGGUGUAAUAAUUUAAUAUCGCAUUCCUAAACGGCUUUUCCAUAUUGAGACUACCCAAUUGAACUGAUUGAAGAAUGAUAUGUACAAAAAAUAAAGAAACCAACAUUUUCUACAAAUUUUCCAAGUAAUUGUUGCAUUCGGCCAAAAUAAGAUGAUCGAAGUUAUACAACUAUUGAAGAAAAACUCAGUGUAUGUAAAAAAAGAAUUACACAUGUAUAAGCUAAGAAUAAACUCAGCGUAACCAGAGGAAAGGAGAGAAUGGAAAAUUCUGUAACAAAAAAUACAAUAACCUAAAAACCACCAAAAUAUGGGUCUGGAUUGGUCGGAAGCAAAGCAGUAUCACUGCAAAUGAGAUUAGGUUGCAGAGCUGAGAGAAGAACUUAUGCAUUCAGACAUUGGUGUGCGACAAUCUGUUGAUGACUUCUUGUCUAAGCAAUAUGGCGAUAGGCUUGUGACCCUGCAAAACCAAAAGUGUGAGAGAUCGUUAAUUGGUUUCGUCUAUGAAGAAUUGCUGUGUGUACCUUUCUUUGCGUUUCUCUAAGAAUCUAGCUAUAGAUGCUUUCCGAGCCUGAGGUAAAGCCACUGCAUAAGAAACAUAACCAGAAUGAAGCUACAUCCCAUACAAAUAGCAGUAAAGCUAGGCGAGUUUAGUUAGCAUUAGGUAUAAAAAGACUUUGGUUUACCUAUUUUACCUGUUUGAGGUACAUUGGCAGAACAAGAAGCUGCCACUGAAGAGUUGAUAUUGGAUGCGUUAGUUUGGUUGCUGAGGUAUGUUGUUGUAAAGUCUCUUGCUGCUUUAGCUGCUCCGAACCCAUUUGAGCUACUUCCAGCUUCAGGGCUGAGAUAAGAGACUGUGGGCAUGAAGCUAGGAGGCAUAGCUGAAGAAUCAACGGAGGCACGGGCAUGAUGGACCACUUGUUGAUGAGUUUGUGGUGGUGAAAAGACUUGUGGCAUAGGGGAACCGUUUCCAGCAAGUAACAUUAUCGCCU